Dioscorea cayenensis subsp. rotundata (Guinea yam) is the source of this 107-nucleotide small nucleolar RNA. The record is from RefSeq and is a predicted model, not a curated record. Lineage: Eukaryota; Viridiplantae; Streptophyta; Magnoliopsida; Dioscoreales; Dioscoreaceae.
AACCCAUGUUGAGGACAUUUCUGCAGGAGAUCCUUGAACCUGUCCCAUGUCUCAAAAAGAGACUCAAAUUUCAUUUGUACAAAAGAGGAUAUUUCGUUCCUAAGCUU